GAUGAACGCUGGCGGCGUGCCUAAUACAUGCAAGUCGAGCGAACGGACGAGAAGCUUGCUUCUCUGAUGUUAGCGGCGGACGGGUGAGUAACACGUGGAUAACCUACCUAUAAGACUGGGAUAACUUCGGGAAACCGGAGCUAAUACCGGAUAAUAUUUUGAACCGCAUGGUUCAAAAGUGAAUGACGGUCUUGCUGUCACUUAUAGAUGGAUCCGCGCUGCAUUAGCUAGUUGGUAAGGUAACGGCUUACCAAGGCAACGAUGCAUAGCCGACCUGAGAGGGUGAUCGGCCACACUGGAACUGAGACACGGUCCAGACUCCUACGGGAGGCAGCAGUAGGGAAUAUUCGGCAAUGGGCGAAAGCCUGACGGAGCAACGCCGCGUGAGUGAUGAAGGUCUUCGGAUCGUAAAACUCUGUUAUUAGGGAAGAACAUAUGUGUAAGUAUCUGUGCACAUCUUGACGGUACCUAAUCAGAAAGCAACGGCUAACUACGUG
RNAcentral lists this ribosomal RNA (497 nucleotides) under uncultured bacterium. RNAcentral describes it as "partial 16S ribosomal RNA". It matches the Rfam family "Bacterial small subunit ribosomal RNA", at positions 28 to 507 of the family's 1533-position model. The record is from RNAcentral.